GGAUUGUGGCUCAGUGGUAAAGCACUUGCCUUGUAUGCAUGAGGCCCUGGGUUCGAUCCUCAGCACCA
This 68-nucleotide transfer RNA is filed under the name Marmota monax (woodchuck). Its description in RNAcentral is "tRNA.Thr". The stretch from base 5 to 65 matches the Rfam family "tRNA", at positions 6 to 65 of the family's 71-position model. From Rfam's summary of the family: Transfer RNA (tRNA) molecules are approximately 80 nucleotides in length. Their secondary structure includes four short double-helical elements and three loops (D, anti-codon, and T loops). Lineage: Eukaryota; Metazoa; Chordata; Mammalia; Rodentia; Sciuridae. The record is from RNAcentral.